Molecule: long non-coding RNA, 3125 nt
Organism: Oncorhynchus tshawytscha (Chinook salmon)
Lineage: Eukaryota; Metazoa; Chordata; Actinopteri; Salmoniformes; Salmonidae
Source: Ensembl
CGAAACUGCCACUCUCUUCACAACACCAUUUUAAUUACUGUCUCCAUAUUGCUCCAAGCAGAGUAUUCUCUCCAAGAACACAGCAAGCAAAUAUGUCGUGCAGAGCAGUCGACAGGGUAGCCCUCAGGGUAGCCGCUCAUUGAGAGAGGAGAAGAAAGGCGACAUAAAGGAGAGAAAGUAAAGGCUGAGGAGGAGCGGAGGGGACACGAUGCUCUCCAGGGGAGACAGUCACACGCUCCCAUUGAGGAGGGGACAGGGACAGAGUGGCGCCAGGGCUCAGGGCGGACACGUUCAUAAUCACACAUGGCAAGAGAGAGAGAGAGAGAGAGAUAGAAAGAGAAAGUGUGUGUGUGUUAGAUUAAAGAUCACAAACUAAGGUGAGCUCAAAGCAAUACAUUACUGUGCACAUGCUUGCAUGCAUGCCUGCACGUCUGUGAUAUGUCCUCAGAUUCAUCACAUUGAAUACAACAGAAACUAAGGUGAGGUUGAUUGGUGUUGGUGUGCGUGAGAGUGUGUGCACGUGUGUCAGUCUGUCUGUCACUCACGCAGUCGGGCCCCAGUCUACUUCCAACAUGGCCACAGGGCUCUUCAACAGAUGGGCAUGAGGUGACAUGAUGGCGUAGACAUGAGAGACCGCCAGCCAUCUUAAAAGGUCACUGAGGACCAAUCCUCCACCCCAUCUGAUUGCUGUUGUCCCUUAGGACAGGUCCAGAGUUGAAAAGUUCACCCAGGGAGAAAGGUGAGGAAGCCAGUCAUGCAAAUAUGAGAAGGUGACACGGGAGAGGAUUAGUGAGACCAGGUGACCAAGAAAGAAACGAAGACGAACACAAAACCCUGCCCUGGGAAAAGUGGCUACAGAGUAACUCUAGAUGUUUUAUGUUUUUUUUGUGUGAAGCUUAUUAUAAUUUGUGAACCAAGGUAAUCAGAAGUGGAGUGUGGAGUGUGGGUUGAGGGUCAUUAAAGGCCAAAUGCAGCCGUUUUAUCUCAAUUCAAUCACAAUCAAGUCAUUUCUUGGUAACGUUUAAGUACCAUACUGUGAUUGUUUUAAAGCAAUUUCUCUAGGACUGCUAGGAGAGUGGUCUAAGUGGGAAAGGUAAAACUGAAAACUAGCCGUUAUCGGCAGAGAGGUUCGGGAACUCUCUUUCUUAUAGGUAUAUAAACGAAUUAACUAACUAACUAACUAAUGAACUAUUAACUAACUAUAAACUCAUUUAUAAACUAAUGAGUUCAUGGGAUCAGUGUUCUUUGGGGUAAAAGUAAACUAAAGCCUUCCAUUGUGAUUCAUGCAUAACUACGACUCAACUUGAAAAGCCUGGUGUUGUCACCAAGCGGGCCAAAACUCCCACCAAAACAGGCAGAAAUUUCAGGUGAUCUUUUCAAAUAAGGGCAUUACUAUACUUUUGACAAUUUAAACAGUAUUAUUCCAAUGUCAUAGUGUGGGAAUAUAUGCAAAACACAGGAAAAUCACGUGUUUUACUGUACUGGGCCUUUAAUUCUGUUUCUAGUUAUUAUAAGUCUAGUUAUGAUUAGAGACUGUUAAAUAAUGCCUAUAGUUAUAGUUAUCUAAUAGUUAUGCGUUGGCUAAAAAUAUGUUUAUUAAUGCUGAGUUACAAACUUAGUAAUGGUUUAAACAUGUGUUAUUAUAUACUGUUGGCUAAAUAAUGGUAUUAUUAUUAGAAUGGUAAGUAAUUCACACCCAUUGACUUUUUCCACAAAUGUAUUAAAUUGAGAUGUUGUGUCACUGGCCUACACACAAUAACAAAUCAUGUUAAAGUGGAAUUAUGUUUUUAGAAAUACUUACAAAUUAAUAAAAAUGAAAAGCUGAAAAAAUGAAAAGCUGUAAUGUUUCUGUAGAGCACUUUUUGACACCUGCUGAUGUAAAAAGUGCUUUAUAAAUACAUUUGAUUGAUGAUUGAUGUCUUGAGUCAUACAAUUAUUGUCACGCCCUGAACUUAGUUAUCUUUGUUUUCUUUAUUAUUUAGUUAGGUCAGGGUGUCGCAAUGAUGGUGUGUGUAGUUUUUCAUUGUCUAGGGGUUUUUGUAUGUUUAUGUUUUUUUUUCUAGUCUUAGUGUUUAUAUGUCUAUGGUUGCCUAGAUUGGUUCUCAAUCAGAGGCAGCUGUUUAUCAUUGUCUCUGAUUGGGGACCAUAUUUAGGUGGCCAUAUUCAUUGGGUAUUGUGUGGGUUAUGGUCUAUGUUUAGUUGCCUGUCUGCACUACGCAUAUUAGCUUCACGGUUCGUUUGUGUUGUUUUGUUAGUUUUGUUCAGUGUUCGUUCUUCUAUUAAAUAAGUAUGUUCGCUUACCACGCUGCGCCUUGGUCUCCUCUUUAUGACGACCGUUACAGAAUAACCCACCAAAAAAGGACCAAGCAGCGUGCCAAAGAGGAGUGGACAUCUUGGACCCGGGAGAAAGAGGAGUGGAGGACAUCCUGGACCUGGGAGGAGGUAAUGGCGGGGGACAAGACCCUGCCAUGGAAGCAGGUGGAGAAAGCACAGGAGGAUAGUGGAAGAUAUGAGGGUACACGGCUAGCACGGAACCCCGAGAGGCAGCCCCAAGAUUGUUUUGGGGGGGGGGAGGCACACGAGGAGAUUGGCUGAGUCAGGUAGGAGACCUGAGCCAACUCCUGGUGCUUACCGUGGGGAGUGUGUAACUGGUCAGGCACCGUGUUAUGCAGAGAUGCGCAAGGUGUCUCCAGAAUGGGCAUCCAGCCAGGAUGUAUUGAGCAAGCUCUAUGUUCUGGAUCUCCAAUGCGUCUCCACGGUCCAGUGUAUCCUGUGCCUCCUCCCCGCACUCGCCUUGAGGUGCGUGUCCCCAGCCCAGUACCCAGUCCAGAGUGUCCGGCGACAAUACCCAGUCCAGAGCGUCCGGCGACAGUACCCAGUCCAGAGCGUCCGGCGACAGUACCCAGUCCAGAGCGUCUGGCGACAGUACCCAGUCCAGAGCAUCUGGCAAAAGUACCCAGUGCCCAACCUCCAACGACGGGCCACAGUCCGGAGCCUCCAACGACGGGCCACAGCCCGGAGCCUCCAACGACGGGCCACAGCCCGGAACCUCCAACGACGGGCCACAGUCCGGAGCCUCCAACGACGGGCCACAGUCCGGGGUCUCCAGCGACGGGCCACAGUCC